AUGUGAUGGUUAGAAUCUGUGUGGCUGGGCUGGAGAGAUGGCUCAGCCGUUAAAGGCUAGGCUCACAACCAAAAAUAUA
RNAcentral lists this microRNA precursor (79 nucleotides) under Microtus ochrogaster (prairie vole). RNAcentral describes it as "miRNA (ENSMOCG00000010165.1)". Lineage: Eukaryota; Metazoa; Chordata; Mammalia; Rodentia; Cricetidae. The record is from RNAcentral.